AGCGCGUCACAAGUUUAGCGCAUGCGUUUUUCAAAUCUUAAAGUCCUCGUGAAUUCAAAGUAACUUUUUUGUAAUUAAAACGAGUUCACUUUAUAUUCUUGACAUCAAAAUGAAUCAAAAAAACUUUUGCCAAGAUUUGGAAGAUGUAGCGAUUGUUAUUUCUCAAGAAGGAAGUUAGGUUACUGUAGAAACUUACGAUGAAGUACUUGUUUUGAUACAUAGCUUCGAAACAGAGACUGUAUCAAAGUUUUAUGCUAUAGUGCUGCUAAAAACUUUGGAAAGAUGGAUUGCUGAGGAUACUAAAUUUAGAAGAGUGCAAUUCUCAAACUGUAUUAAAGAUGCUUUGUCAAGAAAUAAAGAAAUAAGGGAAAGAGUGUUUCCAGUUUGCUUUCCUUCAAAAAGUUCUCAUACUGGUCAUUUUACCAGAAAUGUAAGAUUUCUUUUUUGUGUAGAUAAAGUUAAACAGCAGAUAUUAAGAGAAAAAAAACAUUAAAGAGUUAUCCAAAUAGUUUUCGUUUCUUGUUUGCAUAUUUUAAACAUCUUAAAGUUAGUUUAUAAUUUCAAACAUGUUAUUUAACUUGUUUUGUCAUAUAACAUUAAAGUUAUAAUUUCAAACAUGUCAUUUAACUUGUUUUUUCAAAACUUCGAGAUCGAGUUAGAGGCCUAUACUUUGAAGAAAUUUGUAAUUAAAUACCUUUUUUUUUCGUUUUAAACGACAAUCUUUUGGAAUCUCCAAUUAAAAUCUGUAAAUUUGGAGGUGGUGCAAAAGUAUAUUAGCGCCUGUAAAAGAUCUUCAGAUGAACCUUCAGAUUGCAACAGCUUUCUUCAAAGCUCUAAACGGAUGGACCAAGUUGCAACAGUAAUUACAUUUCAUUUAUUUGAUCUAUAUAUAGGACUCUAAUAAUUAAACUUCAAAAUAUUAUUUAAAUAAUAUUAAUUUAAACAGUUUAAUAUUAAUUUAAACAGUCAUUUAAAGUUCUUUUAAAAUCAUUUUCUUGUUAUACGAUAUUUAUGUUUUA
Hydra vulgaris (swiftwater hydra) is the source of this 1019-nucleotide long non-coding RNA. RefSeq lists it as uncharacterized. The record is from RefSeq and is a predicted model, not a curated record. Lineage: Eukaryota; Metazoa; Cnidaria; Hydrozoa; Anthoathecata; Hydridae.